This 253-nucleotide ribosomal RNA is filed under the name uncultured bacterium. RNAcentral's name for it is "partial 16S ribosomal RNA". It matches the Rfam family "Bacterial small subunit ribosomal RNA", at positions 524 to 776 of the family's 1533-position model. The record is from RNAcentral.
UACGAAGGUGGCAAGCGUUGUUCGGAUUUACUGGGCGUAAAGGGCGCGUAGGUGGUGGGGUAAGCCCCACGGGAAAGCUCCAGGCUUAACCUGGAAAGGUCGCGGGGGACUGCUCCGCUCGAGGACGGGAGAGGAGCGCGGAAUUCCCGGUGUAGCGGUGAAAUGCGUAGAGAUCGGGAGGAAGGCCGGUGGCGAAGGCGGCGCUCUGGAACGGCCCUGACACUGAGGCUCGAAAGCGUGGGGAGCAAACAGG